CCUACGGGAGGCAGCAGUGGGGAAUCUUGCGCAAUGGGCGAAAGCCUGACGCAGCCAUGCCGCGUGUAUGAUGAAGGUCUUAGGAUUGUAAAAUACUUUCACCGGUGAAGAUAAUGACUGUAGCCGGAGAAGAAGCCCCGGCUAACUUCGUGCCAGCAGCCGCGGUAAUACGAAGGGGGCUAGCGUUGCUCGGAAUUACUGGGCGUAAAGGGAGCGUAGGCGGACAUUUAAGUCAGAGGUGAAAUCCCGGAGCUUAACUUCGGAACUGCCUUUGAUACUGGGUGUCUUGAGUGUGAGAGAGGUAUGUGGAACUCCGAGUGUAGAGGUGAAAUUCGUAGAUAUUCGGAAGAACACCAGUGGCGAAGGCGGCAUACUGGCUCAUUACUGACGCUGAGGCUCGAAAGCGUGGGGAGCAAACAGGAUUAGAUACCCUGGUAGUCCACGCCGUAAACGAUGAUUGCUAGUUGUCGGGAAGCUUGCUUCUCGGUGACGCAGCUAACGCAUUAAGCAAUCCGCCUGGGGAGUACGGUCGCAAGNUUAAAACUCAAAGGAAUUGACGGNNGAGAGNGCGAGACGACACGAGGAGAG
RNAcentral lists this ribosomal RNA (588 nucleotides) under uncultured bacterium. RNAcentral describes it as "bacterial SSU rRNA". It matches the Rfam family "Bacterial small subunit ribosomal RNA", at positions 338 to 944 of the family's 1533-position model. The record is from RNAcentral.